GACGAACGCUGGCGGCGUGCCUAAUACAUGCAAGUCGAACGAGAGCGCCCGGUGCUUGCCCUGGUCAAUCUAGUGGCGAACGGGUGAGUAACACGUGGGUAACCUGCCCAUCAGAGGGGGAUAACAUCCGGAAACGGAUGCUAAAACCGCAUAGGUCUUCGAACCGCAUGGUUUGAAGAGGAAAAGAGGCGCAAGCUUCUGCUGAUGGAUGGACCCGCGGUGCAUUAGCUAGUUGGUGAGGUAACGACUCACCAAGGCCGUGAUGCAUAGCCGACCUGAGAGGGUGAUCGGCCACAUUGGGACUGAGACACGGCCCAAACUCCUACGGGAGGCAGCAGUAGGGAAUCUUCCGCAAUGGACGCAAGUCUGACGGAGCAACGCCGCGUGAGUGAAGAAGGUUUUCGGAUCGUAAAACUCUGUUGUUAGAGAAGAACAAGUGCUAGAGUAACUGUUAGCGCCUUGACGGUAGCUAACCAGAAAGCCACGGCUAACUACGUG
This 498-nucleotide ribosomal RNA is filed under the name uncultured bacterium. RNAcentral's name for it is "partial 16S ribosomal RNA". It matches the Rfam family "Bacterial small subunit ribosomal RNA", at positions 28 to 507 of the family's 1533-position model. The record is from RNAcentral.